GGGCACGGCGGGCCGGUCUCCUCUGCGGCUCUCCCGCAGCCGCAGUCGGAGCUGGUUCCGCGACCAGCUGUGCUGC
This 76-nucleotide transfer RNA is filed under the name Streptomyces parvulus. Its description in RNAcentral is "tRNA-Gly". The record is from RNAcentral. Lineage: Bacteria; Bacillati; Actinomycetota; Actinomycetes; Kitasatosporales; Streptomycetaceae.